This 246-nucleotide ribosomal RNA is filed under the name uncultured archaeon. Its description in RNAcentral is "partial 16S ribosomal RNA". It matches the Rfam family "Archaeal small subunit ribosomal RNA", at positions 130 to 357 of the family's 1478-position model. The record is from RNAcentral.
ACCCGGGAAACUGGGGCUAAUACCAGAUAGGCGAGGACGCCUGGAAUGGUUCUUCACCCAAAGGACUUUGGAAGCAUGCUUUCAAAGUCGCCUGGGGAUGGGGCCGCGUCCGAUCAGGUUGUUGGUGAGGUAACGGCUCACCAAGCCUAUAACCGGUACGGGCCGUGAGAGCGGUAGCCUGGAGAUGGGCACUGAGACAAGGGCCCAGGCCCUACGGGGCGCAGCAGUCGCUAAAACUCCGCAAUG